CCAAACUUGGUCAUUUAGAGGAAGUAAAAGUCGUAACAAGGUUUCCGUAGGUGAACCUGCGGAAGGAUCAUUAUUGAAUUUUUGAAGGGAGCUGUUUGCUGGCCUCUCUCGGCAUGUGCACGCUCCGUUCGAAUAUCAUCUUAUAUAUCUCCUGUGCACGUUUUGUAGGGUCUGUGGCUGUGAGGCUGCGUGCUCCUAUGUAUUUACAUCAUCGAACCCUUCAGUAUGCAUGGAAUGUUUGUUGCGUGCGCUGCACGUUUUUGUACAACUUUCAGCAACGGAUCUCUUGGCUCUCGCAUCGAUGAAGAACGCAGC
Molecule: unclassified non-coding RNA, 315 nt
Filed under: uncultured fungus
Lineage: Eukaryota; Fungi
Description: partial contains small subunit ribosomal RNA, internal transcribed spacer 1, and 5.8S ribosomal RNA
Rfam family: Eukaryotic small subunit ribosomal RNA (bases 1-73)
Source: RNAcentral